Prosopis cineraria is the source of this 1457-nucleotide long non-coding RNA. RefSeq lists it as uncharacterized. NCBI's taxonomy places the organism in Eukaryota, Viridiplantae, Streptophyta, Magnoliopsida, Fabales, Fabaceae. The record is from RefSeq and is a predicted model, not a curated record. The transcript is spliced from 4 exons.
AAGAGUAACAUGGCCUUCCUGCGCUUCCAUGUGCCAGAACAACGUUCAAGUCACCAUCUUCUUCAAAAGGGCAUAUUUCUCAUUCUCGUGAAAAUGGUGGGCCUCUCCAGUCUCUCUGCCUUGUUCACAGUCCUCUUUUUUUCCACUCAAUCUCAUUCACAGAACAUGCCUCGCUCUUGGCAACGACCCUGACAUCCAGAUAUGAGUAAAAGGACAGCAUCGUAAAGCAGAGCGUGUGAGUGCAGUAAGGAUUUCCCUCACUGUGCCACUCAUCGCGGCUGAGGACGAAUGCACCGCGACGCAUGAUGCAGGUUUUUAAUAAAUGAGGACAUGCCAGGCUUGUGAAAAACAAAAGGGAAAUUAGAGAAAGAGGGGUUAGGCAUGGAGAAGAGAGGAUAGUCUGCCAGGGUGUCAAGUUUCAGGAGAAAAGAUGACGUUUCCGACCUGUUACUUAUCAGAUUCUUGCGUACGACAAUUUGAAUGGCAAAAGACACUCGAAUAGGGUUAUGAAACACGAGUAAUCCUUUCUAUUAGACAACAGAGUUGAGGAUGAAAGGUUAGAGAGGCAAUCCGGGAUAGAACGUGCGAGCAUAAGUAAGAAUUUUCUCACUAUGCCACGUGCUAUUGCAGAAGCUGCUUGCACCGUGACACAUUGUUGAGAAAUCACUGAAAACUGACAUGAACAGCUCAUGAAAAUAGAAGGAAAAAAACUGGAGAUGUGUUUGGAGAGCAAGAGGAAGCCAUCUCUGCUAGGGCAAGUAUUAUCUAAAGCUCGAGAAUUUGCUUCGAUUAAUAACUUGAUGGGUAAGUGCGCAAUCUUAAGCUUUAAUUCUACCUCUUUUUUAUUAAAUUUCAUUGGUUGAGAAAUUAAAUCAUGAAAUUCUAAGGUGUUAUAAUCUAAAAGAAAGGGUUAAAACGGGAUAUCGAAUACAGCAUUAGGGUUUUGUGACUAGUAUAGAGUUGAAUGGUUGAGUUUUGAGCAUUUAGGCUCAAAAUGACCUAAAAGUUAGGUCAAUAGAGUGAAUUUAGAUGAAUGGAUGUGUUAGGGAGAUUGUUAUAAUUUUUUGAGUAGCCUGUAAGGCUAGUGAACAUAAAUAAUGAAUAAGUGAAUUGAAAAGGGUUCAAUUAAACUAUUUCAUAUGUUAGGAGAUUCGGUUUAGCCAAAUCAAUGCUUAUCAAUUGUGUUGAGAAUUGACUGAAGGGCACUAUUUUAUGUAGAUUGAGCACUUGUGAAGUUGCUCGUGAAAAUCUAUGCCCCUGAAAACUUAGUGUGGUUGGUAACCCUUAGUAGCAAGGGUUAAAAGUAACUAGAGUAACCUUUUUACUUGUUUAUUUAUGAAAUUAUUUGCAAGUCUUUUGGUAUAACUACGUGCAUUAUAUUGUAAACUGAUAGAAUAGCAAGAUUUUAAAAGUAUAUGCAUGCGGGUGUGUGAGUAUUGAUUGAAAUGAAUUUGAGA